AACGCACCUUGCGCCCCUUGGUUAUUCCUCGGGGCAUGCCUGUUUGAGUAUCAUGAACACCUCAACUCUCAUGGUUUUCCAUGGUGAGCUUGGACUUUGGGGGUUUGCUGGCCUUAUGGCCGGCUCCUCUCAAACGAAUCAGCUUUCCAGUGUUCGGUGGCGUCGUGGGUGUGAUAACCAUCUACACUCAGGACCGUCUGCCAGGUAACCCUCAGCGAUGACGGUUCACUGGAGCUUAUAAAUGUCUCUCCUCGGUGGGGACAACUUUUGAACGUUCGAUCUCAAAUCAGGUAGGACUACCCGCUGAACUUAA
This 313-nucleotide unclassified non-coding RNA is filed under the name uncultured fungus. RNAcentral's name for it is "partial contains 5.8S ribosomal RNA, internal transcribed spacer 2, and large subunit ribosomal RNA". Lineage: Eukaryota; Fungi. The record is from RNAcentral.